Molecule: ribosomal RNA, 544 nt
Filed under: Scomber environmental sample
Lineage: Eukaryota; Metazoa; Chordata; Actinopteri; Scombriformes; Scombridae
Description: partial 16S ribosomal RNA
Rfam family: Bacterial large subunit ribosomal RNA
Source: RNAcentral
UAUAUGUUCAACGGCCGCGGUAUUUUAACCGUGCAAAGGUAGCGCAAUCACUUGUCUUUUAAAUGAAGACCUGUAUGAAUGGUAUUACGAGGGCUUAACUGUCUCCUUUUUCAAGUCAGUGAAAUUGAUCUCCCCGUGCAGAAGCGGGGAUAAAACCAUAAGACGAGAAGACCCUAUGGAGCUUUAAGACACUGAGCCAUAUCAAGUUAAACACCCCCAAACAAGGGACUAAACUUAUUGAAAUCAUUGGCCGUAUGUCUUCGGUUGGGGCGACCAUGGGGAAACAAAAAACCCCCACGUGGAAUGGGAGCACAACUACUCCUACAGUCAAGAGCCACCACUCUAACAAACAGAAUUUCUGACCAAUAACUGAUCCGGCAACGCCGAUCAACGGACCAAGUUACCCUAGGGAUAACAGCGCAAUCCCCUUUUAGAGCCCCUAUCGACAAGGGGGUUUACGACCUCGAUGUUGGAUCAGGACAUCCCAAUGGUGCAGCCGCUAUUGAAGGUUCGUUUGUUCAACGAUUAAAGUCCUACGUGAUCU